RNAcentral lists this non-coding RNA (30 nucleotides) under Homo sapiens (human). The record is from RNAcentral. Lineage: Eukaryota; Metazoa; Chordata; Mammalia; Primates; Hominidae.
UCUCUUAAGAAGAGAAGCCUGGAAGGAAAC